This 118-nucleotide ribosomal RNA is filed under the name Periophthalmus magnuspinnatus. The record is from RNAcentral. Lineage: Eukaryota; Metazoa; Chordata; Actinopteri; Gobiiformes; Gobiidae.
AACCUCUGUAAUACUCUGAGAAUGCCCGAUCUCAUGUGAUCUCGAGAGCUAAGCUGGGUCUGGACUGCUUAGUGCUGGGAUAGGAGACAGCUGGAAAAAAAAAAAAAAACUGGUGCUG